RNAcentral lists this ribosomal RNA (336 nucleotides) under uncultured soil bacterium. Its description in RNAcentral is "bacterial SSU rRNA". It matches the Rfam family "Bacterial small subunit ribosomal RNA", at positions 26 to 363 of the family's 1533-position model. The record is from RNAcentral.
AGAUUGAACGCUGGCGGCAGGCCUAACACAUGCAAGUCGAGCGAUAGAGAGGUGCUUGCACCUCUUGAGAGCGGCGGACGGGUGAGUAAUGCCUAGGAAUCUGCCUAGUGGUGGGGGAUAACGUUCGGAAACGGACGCUAAUACCGCAUACGUCCUACGGGAGAAAGCGGGGGACCUUCGGGCCUCGCGCCAUUAGAUGAGCCUAGGUCGGAUUAGCUAGUUGGUGAGGUAAUGGCUCACCAAGGCGACGAUCCGUAACUGGUCUGAGAGGAUGAUCAGUCACACUGGAACUGAGACACGGUCCAGACUCCUACGGGAGGCAGCAGGUGGGGAAUA